GGACAAUAAUAUCAGUGUCAGUCCACCGCCAUGUCAAGAGCUGAAAUCAAAAUGCGAACACAAGGAAAUAGAUGAUCUUCAAGAAAAAGAAAGUCUUUGUGAACAACUGCAAAAGGCAAAAAACAAGAUAGAUCUCUUAAACUGUCAACUGGUGGAAAGGGACAGUGAAAUUGCACGUUUGAAACAGCAGCUGGUCCAACAUUCAGGUCAAAAUCAGAACCUUCCACAGAGUACAAAG
Long non-coding RNA from Triplophysa dalaica, 238 nucleotides. RefSeq lists it as uncharacterized. Lineage: Eukaryota; Metazoa; Chordata; Actinopteri; Cypriniformes; Nemacheilidae. The record is from RefSeq and is a predicted model, not a curated record. The transcript is spliced from 3 exons.